This 494-nucleotide ribosomal RNA is filed under the name uncultured bacterium. RNAcentral describes it as "SSU rRNA". It matches the Rfam family "Bacterial small subunit ribosomal RNA", at positions 26 to 518 of the family's 1533-position model. The record is from RNAcentral.
AGGACGAACGCUGGCGGCGUGCUUAACACAUGCAAGUCGAGCGGAGAGGCCCUUCGGGGUACUCGAGCGGCGAACGGGUGAGUAACACGUGAGUAAUCUGCCCCUAGCUCUGGGAUAGCUCCGGGAAAACCGGGAUUAAUACCGGAUACGACCACCUUAGACAUCUUUUGUGGUGGAAAGAAUUUCGGCUAGGGAUGAGCUCGCGGCCUAUCAGCUUGUUGGUGGGGUAACGGCCUACCAAGGCGACGACGGGUAGCCGGCCUGAGAGGACGACCAGUCACACUGGAACUGAGACACGGUCCAGACACCUACGGGUGGCAGCAGUCGAGAAUUUUUCUCAAUGGGGGAAACCCUGAAGGAGCGACGCCGCGUGGAGGAUGAAGGCUUUCGGGUUGUAAACUCCUGUCAUUUAAGAACAAGUGUAGCCAAGUAACUACUGGCUACUUGAUAGUAUCAGAAGAGGAAGAGACGGCUAACUCUGUGCCAGCAGCCGC